GUACUUACAUGGCAGGGGAGAUACCAUGAUCAUAAAGGUGGUUUUCCUAGAGUGAGGCUUAUCCUUUGUACUCCAGAUGUGCUGGCCCCUGUGAUUUCCCCAAAUGUGGGGAACUCAACUGCAUAAUUUGUGGUACUGGGGGACUGCAUUUGCCCUCUCCCCCC
Small nuclear RNA from Phyllostomus hastatus (greater spear-nosed bat), 164 nucleotides. RefSeq annotates it as U1 spliceosomal RNA. The transcript has a single exon. Lineage: Eukaryota; Metazoa; Chordata; Mammalia; Chiroptera; Phyllostomidae. The record is from RefSeq and is a predicted model, not a curated record.